This 460-nucleotide ribosomal RNA is filed under the name uncultured bacterium. RNAcentral describes it as "partial 16S ribosomal RNA". It matches the Rfam family "Bacterial small subunit ribosomal RNA", at positions 338 to 795 of the family's 1533-position model. The record is from RNAcentral.
CCUACGGGUGGCAGCAGUGAGGAAUAUUGGUCAAUGGACGCGAGCCUGACCCAGCCAAGUAGCGUGAAGGAUGACUGCCCUACGGGUUGUAAACUUCUUUUAUAUAGGAAUAAAGUGAUGCACGUGUGCCUUUUUGUAUGUACUUUAUGAAUAAUGAUCGGCUAACUCCGUGCCAGCAGCCGCGGUAGUACGGAGGAUCCGUGCGUUAUCCGUGUUUAUUGGGUUUAAAGGUAGCGUAGAUGGGUUGUUAAGUCAGUUGUGAAAGUUUGCGGCUCAACCGUAAAAUUGCAAUUGAUACUGGCAGCCUUGAGGACAGUGGAGGUAGGCGGAAUGCGUGGUGGAGCGGUGAAAUGCUGAGAUAUCACGAAGAACUCCGAUUGCGAAGGCAGCCUACUAAACUGCCACUGACAUUGAUGCUCGAAAGUGUGGGUAUCAAACAGGAUUAGAGACCCGGGUAGUC